UGGGGAAUAUUGGACAAUGGGCGCAAGCCUGAUCCAGCCAUGCCGCGUGAGUGAUGAAGGCCUUAGGGUUGUAAAGCUCUUUCACCCACGACGAUAAUGACGGUAGUGGGGGAAGAAGCCCCGGCUAACUUCGUGCCAGCAGCCGCGGUAAUACGAAGGGGGCUAGCGUUGCUCGGAAUCACUGGGCGUAAAGGGCGCGUAGGCGGCCGAUCAAGUCAGGGGUGAAAGCCUGUGGCUCACCACAGAAUUGCCUUUGAUACUGUUCGGCUCGAGACCGGAAGAGGUUGGUGGAACUGCGAGUGUAGAGGUGAAAUUCGUAGAUAUUCGCAAGAACACCAGUGGCGAAGGCGGCCAACUGGUCCGGUUCUGACGCUGAGGCGCGAAAGCGUGGGGAGCAAACAGGAUUAGAUACCCUGGUAGUCCACGCCGUAAAACGAUGAAUGCCAGCCGUUGGGCAGCUUGCUGCUCAGUGGCGCAGCUAACGCUUUAAGCAUUCCCGCCUGGGGGAGUUACGGUCGCAAGAUUAAAAACUUAAAGGAAUUGACGGGGAUCAUAGCUGUUU
Molecule: ribosomal RNA, 562 nt
Filed under: uncultured bacterium
Lineage: Bacteria
Description: partial 16S ribosomal RNA
Rfam family: Bacterial small subunit ribosomal RNA
Source: RNAcentral